GCGAAACCUCCGCAAUGCGAGCAAUCGCGACGGGGGGACCCCAAGUGCCACUCUUAACGGGGUGGCUUUUCUUAAGUGUAAAAAGCUUUUGGAAUAAGGGCUGGGCAAGACCGGUGCCAGCCGCCGCGGUAACACCGGCAGCCCAAGUGGUGGCCGUUUUUAUUGGGCCUAAAGCGUUCGUAGCCGGCCUGAUAAGUCUCUGGUGAAAUCCCGCAGCUUAACUGUGGGAAUUGCUGGAGAUACUAUCAGGCUUGAGGUCAGGAGAGGUUAGAGGUACUCCCAGGGUAGGGGUGAAAUCCUAUAAUCCUGGGAGGACCACCUGUGGCGAAGGCGUCUAACUGGAACGAACCUGACGGUGAGUAACGAAAGCCAGGGUAGCAAACC
This 384-nucleotide ribosomal RNA is filed under the name uncultured prokaryote. Its description in RNAcentral is "bacterial SSU rRNA". It matches the Rfam family "Archaeal small subunit ribosomal RNA", at positions 341 to 725 of the family's 1478-position model. The record is from RNAcentral.